ACCAUGGCUUGUGUUUAUCUAGGGCAGAUGCUCAUAUCCUUGACUCCUUUCAUUGAUCUGUUUUUGCUGUAGGUGUCUUUGUUAUGGGUGACCUCACCUGAGUACAUGAAGAGGAUGAAGUCAUUAUUAAAGCCAUUAGUUGCUGCAGGGCUUCUCCACCCAGCAGGACUCAUUUCUCAUUGGUGAAAGAUGAAGGUCGAAGAGGUCGAUGCGCAGCAGUGGACUGUCAGCUGUCCUGAACUUCUUUAUAUGCCUCAUCCAUUCGACUGCGAUUGCCAGGGGGCUCCUCCUCAGCUAUGGGACCCUAUAAUCGUCGCCACAUUUCACCCCACUAGCGAUGGCCCUGACUACACAGAAUAGAAUAGUGAAUUUUUUCACCACCAUUUCCCCCCCCGUGUGUGCUACUGUCACAUGGACGUUGAACUUAUCUUUUCUCCCCAUCUACUACACUCCCAAUUUAAUGACAUUCUACCAUUCUGGAAAAUAUCACUUAUCAUGGUAGAUUUUGUUGAGUUUUCCAUCUGCUUUCCAACAUGCAAUGGAAAACUGACAAAAUACUGAAUGCAUUCUACUGAAAUAAUGGAACACCAACACACAAAAAAAGGGACUUUAAGGUGAUGUGUAAUUUCUGUGCUAUUUGUGGCACCAAAUGGAAUUGCAGUCUGAGCAACAUAAUAAUAUUUAAUCAACCAAUGGUGUGAGUUUACUUGUUUGUCCAAGCAGUGGAAGACGAUUGCUGAUCUGGUUGGUGCUACAUGUGAAAAGAAAUGACACCCAUUAAUUGUAUAACACUUAACUUAAUAAAUACAUUUUGCACUACUAUUAUAUAUUGGUACAAAGUAAGAAGGAUAACAGUAAAAGUAAGUUAUCAAAUAGAGAAAUUCCAGAAGGCAAAUGUUGUUUCUACUAACCUUUCGGCUUGUUCCUAAAUGACAUCUCUAAAAACUUGAGCUGCAGUGUGUCUAAAAGCAAACUUGUAUAUCAGUUUGAGUUUGGCUCGUCUAUGUAGGAUUAGCUCAGUAUAUCUGAAUGAUGACAGAAUCAGACCACCAUUUGUGACGGUUAGUGCUCUUCAUCAUUUCAUCGGUGAGCUGUUACUUCAGUGACAUAAAUGAGAUGAACUCCUGCUUCCAGACGCUUUCCACUCGCUCCAAAGCAGAGCUGCGUGGACCGUUUCCUAGGCUACAGCUCCAAACAUCAGAUGACAGUAUGUCUGAGUGUAUAUUACAGUUCAGUAACGUGCCAAGAAGCGGCUCUGUUGAGGCAAAAACGUACUUGUGCUCAGAAUGAAAAAUGAGUCAGAGUGAACGUUAUCUCUGUACGCCAGAUACUUGGAAUGUUGUUUUCAUACAAAAAGGGAAAAAAGAAAAUCAAACAUUUCUCUGUCACUUGAUGGGUGCAUUAUUAGCUGCCAUUGUUAUUAUGGGUCAUCCGGUAUAGAUGUGUUAAUCAUUAAAAGAAAAGGGAUUUAUCUUAAAAAUCGAGAUGUAUUUGGAGAGAAAUAGCUAAAAAGUGCUCCGUGUGCUCUUUUAUGACGUACCUUUCAUUACACAAUCUGUUGGAAUAACACCCCAUUCAUAAUUGCACCUAAGGAGUUAUGUCAGCUUCUUGGCUUCUUGAAAUGCUGCGGCCUGCCUGGUCUUGAUGUUUGAUUUGUUGUAAAUGGCAAUGAUCUCAAUAACAUAGUAUUAUUUUCCCUGAAAGUGUGGCUUUACCUUUACAACCACAAACAGAUUCUAUGGCUUUUUCAAUAUUUUUAAGCACCAUACUUGAUUGUGUUCAUGCUAGAUUUACUUUCCCUCAAGUACAUUUCAAUAAGUAAAACUAAUACAACAUGUUUGAACUUGUACACUGAUGAACAACGGCAUUGUGCAGUGGAAUAUCCUUUUCCUCCUUGAUUUGGGCUGUAACAAUGACAGCAGUAUCGUCUCAGUGCUGAUGUCAAGAGCAACUGCAACCAGGAACGUUUAACACAAUAGAACAAUAUCAAACAUGAGCCCCAACUACUGAUUAAGUCAAAUAAGUGAGUUUACAUAUGGGGCAAAUUAAAAAAUGAAAAUGGCAAUUGCUAUAUAAAAGGGAAAAUAAAUUAAACUAAAGUUUAGAUGCCAAAUCAUCAAUUGCAUUUAAAAGGGUUGUUGCAUUGUCAGUGCAUGUGAAACAGAAUUUUUUUAUAUUUAUUUUGUGAACCCUUCAAUAAUGAAAUGCGUAAUGUGGUGUUUAUUUUCGCUAUUUAAUAAAUGUAUAAAAAAUUGUCUGAAUCUACCUUCCAUGAGUAACAGAAGUCAGCUAUGAAAUUAAUUCACAUCAGUUGUAAUUAUAUAAUCUGUUGAUGGUGUUGUAUUUUGCUUUUUGAACAUAAUCUAUCAUUUGCAAAGUCAAUUUUCCUCCAUUCAUUCUUCCAUUUAUUUUUUUCUUUCUCUCCGACUAGAAGCUGUUUAACAAAUACAAAGGUUUUCAUUGCAUCGGAUUCGAUGUGUUACAAAAAGUGAGUUUGUUUUGACAAAUGAAGCUGAAACAUUUAUGUCAAACAUUUUGGAUAAACCUAACUUGAUCUUAGUUUCUUUCCAUUUUCAGUUAUGCAAGUAGUAGCAGGCACAUUUCAGUGUGUCUAACUAAAGUCACACACAAAAUUAUAUUUCUGUUUUAUGACCCUUUGAACCAAAACUCAUGAUUUGUGGCUUUCUUGUUGUUUUGGACAACAGGUGGACACUGGCAAAAUCACCUUCAGAUAGAGACAUGGUCAUAGACUGAAUGUGGCAGAGAGAG
Long non-coding RNA from Carassius auratus (goldfish), 2769 nucleotides. RefSeq lists it as uncharacterized. The transcript has 2 exons. The record is from RefSeq and is a predicted model, not a curated record. NCBI's taxonomy places the organism in Eukaryota, Metazoa, Chordata, Actinopteri, Cypriniformes, Cyprinidae.